Molecule: transfer RNA, 88 nt
Filed under: Heliorestis acidaminivorans
Lineage: Bacteria; Bacillati; Bacillota; Clostridia; Eubacteriales; Heliobacteriaceae
Description: tRNA-Leu
Rfam family: tRNA
About the family: Transfer RNA (tRNA) molecules are approximately 80 nucleotides in length. Their secondary structure includes four short double-helical elements and three loops (D, anti-codon, and T loops).
Source: RNAcentral
GCGAGUGUGGCGGAACAGGCAGACGCAACGGACUUAAAAUCCGUCGCCCCAAAAGGGCGUAUCGGUUCGACUCCGAUCACUCGCACCA